This 720-nucleotide long non-coding RNA is filed under the name Triticum aestivum (bread wheat). RNAcentral describes it as "long non-coding RNA (TAES_LNC022038)". The record is from RNAcentral. Lineage: Eukaryota; Viridiplantae; Streptophyta; Magnoliopsida; Poales; Poaceae.
AAACCACGGAGGAGUAUUAUAACUAACUGCAUGAGACAACAAAGUGAGCUUAAAAGCCACAUCUAAAGUGCUGCACCAUUGUCGUCGGUGAGCAAAAACAAAAUAAUUUGAUGAGUACUGCACCACUUUUUCCUAGUGCACAGCAUGACUAAGUAUAAAACUAACAACGAUUUUACGAGUACUGCACCACUUUUUACAGUGCACUGCAUGACUAAAUAUAAAACUAACGACCAGAUAGCAUCAUGCAAUUUUUCUGAAAAUGGAAAAACAAUCAACUUCACAACAGCCACCGGCAACCCACGCGUAGUGUGCUGCAUACACACACGCGCUGUACUGCAUGGACGUGCCAACGGACUGCACGGAGGGAGGCUCGCUAUCCAAACUACACGAUAAACAGAAAAAAACGCAACGCUGCAUCAAGCCGCACAUCACCAGUUUUCUUCCUGCAAGAAGAAGUAAAUUGAACCUCAAGAGAAACAACAGUGGACUACAUUCUACACUUUAUAAUAAAAACUCCAAAACAACGAUCUGCACCAGGACCAGAGUGCACUGCACCAACGAUCUGCGAGCCUCCCUCCAUGUAGUUUCUGUCAGCAGUCUGCACGCAACAGUGUGGUUUCUUGUCAGAUGACAUGAGUGGGAGAAGCAGAAGCAGGGAGAAGAUGCAGGGGGAGAGGGCGACUACCCAUGUAUGCUGCAGCCACGACCGGUGGGGUGACC